This is a long non-coding RNA of Eutrema salsugineum, 545 nucleotides long. RefSeq lists it as uncharacterized. The transcript has 3 exons. Lineage: Eukaryota; Viridiplantae; Streptophyta; Magnoliopsida; Brassicales; Brassicaceae. The record is from RefSeq and is a predicted model, not a curated record.
GACAUUCCCAAAAUUAAGUUGUAUUCAGAGGAGGCACAGCAAUUAUGGGGAGACUUCACCACAACUAUAGAUUCCUAGCUAAUCGUGGUAAUCCUAGACCUUAUGAGAUGCAUUCCUGUUCUGGUCCACGUUAUUGUCCACGUUAUUGUCCUCCGAGGAGGCUAGAUUCGAACCAGGGCUGCGUUUUCUGACGCCGUUGGAGGGAUGGUAUGAGCGUGAACAGGCUAUGCUUGAAGAACUUAAGCAAGAGUUGGCGUCUGCUGCUACUAAGCCGUCUGCUAGCAUUCCUCCUAAGAAGAACUUCCAAGCAAGUUCAAAGAUGAUGCGACUCUUUGUGAUCAAUCGCAAAGCUUUUAAAAAGAAGAAGAUGCUCGUGAUCAAGCGCAAAGAAUGAGAUGAUCGUGGCAAUUCUCUUUCUCUUUGUUGAAUUCUGCAAUGCUCUAUUAUUAUAUGACUUUAUAUGUUAUGAGAUUUCUCCUUUGUCUGAAACUUGUCCUUGUCUUCAUGCAUAAUAAUAAUAAUAAUAACUUAGCUUGGUCAUUUCA